GUGCUCACUUCAGCAGCACAUAUACUAAAAUUGGAACGACACAGAGAUUAGCAUGGUCUCUGCAGAAGGAUGACACGCAAAUUUGUGAAGUGUUCCAUAUUUAU
Small nuclear RNA from Zalophus californianus (California sea lion), 104 nucleotides. The record is from Ensembl. Lineage: Eukaryota; Metazoa; Chordata; Mammalia; Carnivora; Otariidae.